GACGUCCAGGGCCCUUUCUUCAGAGGCGGCCCGCCGCCCCUGUGAGGCGACCCUCCGCUGCUGCCGUCGUCGCCCACCGGCGAGUCCAUCUGGUCCUCCUGAUGCAUCAUCUCGCAGUCGCUCUCGCUCUUCACCCGGAUUUUCGACGACGCGCAUUCGGUGGGAGGAGACGUUUCGUCGACUACGAAGCGUCUAGUGACUUCGUAAAAUCUCAAGAUGGUAUGUUGGUUCAGUCUCUUGGAGAUGCUCAUAUGGGUAAGAUGAAUUUAUAGCGAUGAGUGUAUACCUUUAUAUAUGAGUGCUUGCGUUGUACUGUGUUCAGAGAAAAAAAAUUGGGCCACGUGGACCUGCAUGCAUC
Molecule: long non-coding RNA, 358 nt
Organism: Triticum aestivum (bread wheat)
Lineage: Eukaryota; Viridiplantae; Streptophyta; Magnoliopsida; Poales; Poaceae
Exons: 2
Source: RefSeq, a predicted model, not a curated record